AUUGAACGCUGGCGGCAGGCCUAACACAUGCAAGUCGAGCGGAUGAAGGGAGCUUGCUCCUGGAUUCAGCGGCGGACGGGUGAGUAAUGCCUAGGAAUCUGCCUGGUAGUGGGGGAUAACGUCCGGAAACGGGCGCUAAUACCGCAUACGUCCUGAGGGAGAAAGUGGGGGAUCUUCGGACCUCACGCUAUCAGAUGAGCCUAGGUCGGAUUAGCUAGUUGGUGGGGUAAAGGCCUACCAAGCCGACGAUCCGUAACUGGUCUGAGAGGAUGAUCAGUCACACUAGAACUGAGACACGGUCCAGACUCCUACGGGAGGCAGCAGUGGGGAAUAUUGGACAGUGGGCGAAAGCCUGAUCCAGCCAUGCCGCGUGUGUGAAGAAGGUCUUCGGAUUGUAAAGCACUUUAAGUUGGGAGGAAGGGCAGUAAGUUAAUACCUUGCUGUUUUGACGUUACCAACAGAAUAAGCACCGGCUAACUUCGUG
This 484-nucleotide ribosomal RNA is filed under the name uncultured bacterium. RNAcentral's name for it is "partial 16S ribosomal RNA". It matches the Rfam family "Bacterial small subunit ribosomal RNA", at positions 30 to 507 of the family's 1533-position model. The record is from RNAcentral.